UACCAGCUCUCCGAGUGGUGUGGAUGUUUAUUGGGCCUAAAGCAUCCGUAGCUGGCUGGGCAAGUCCCCUGUUAAAUCCACCGAUUCAAUCGUUGGAGUGCGGGGGAUACUGCUCGGCUAGGGGACGGGAGAGGCCGACGGUAUUUUCGGGGUAGGGGUGAAAUCCUAUAAUCCCGGAAAGACCACCAGUGGCGAAGGCUGUCGGCUAGAACGCGCCCGACGGUGAGGGAUGAAAGCUGGGGGAGCGAACCGGAUUAGAUACCCGGGUAGUCCCAGCUGUAAACGAUGCAGGCUAGGUGUUUGGGCGGCCACGUGCCGCUCUAGUGCCGCAGGGAAGUCGUUAAGCCUGCCGCCUGGGGAGUACGGCCGCAAGGCUGAAACUUAAGGAAUUGGCGGGGAGCACCACAAGGCGUGAAGCUUGCGGUUC
Molecule: ribosomal RNA, 427 nt
Filed under: uncultured archaeon
Lineage: Archaea
Description: bacterial SSU rRNA
Rfam family: Archaeal small subunit ribosomal RNA
Source: RNAcentral